RNAcentral lists this ribosomal RNA (457 nucleotides) under uncultured bacterium. RNAcentral's name for it is "bacterial SSU rRNA". It matches the Rfam family "Bacterial small subunit ribosomal RNA", at positions 335 to 784 of the family's 1533-position model. The record is from RNAcentral.
ACUCCUACGGGAGGCAGCAGUGGGGAAUAUUGCACAAUGGGCGCAAGCCUGAUGCAGCCAUGCCGCGUGUGUGAAGAAGGCCUUCGGGUUGUAAAGCACUUUCAGUCGUGAGGAAGGUAGUGUAGUUAAUAGCUGCAUUAUUUGUACGUUAGCGACAGAAGAAGCACCGGCUAACUCCGUGCCAGCAGCCGCGGUAAUACGGAGGGUGCGAGCGUUAAUCGGAAUUACUGGGCGUAAAGCGCAUGCAGGUGGUUUGUUAAGUCAGAUGUGAAAGCCCGGGGUCUCAACCUCGGAAUAGCAUUUGAAACUGGCAGACUAGAGUACUGUAGAGGGGGUAGAAUUUCAGGUGUAGCGGUGAAAUGCGUAGAGAUCUGAAGGAAUACCGGUGGCGAAGGCGGCCCCGUGGACAGAUACUGACACUCAGAUGCGAAAGCGUGGGAGCAAACAGGAUUAGAUA